CUCUGAGCCAUUUGGUCCAGGGGGCACAUGGGGCAUCACUUUUAUGUAGCGAUUGUGCCAGGGGCUGGGGAAAGGGCAGAAGCUAAUGUCCACAGGCAAUGCCAGUUACAUGCCAAAUGCACCAAGCACCAAGGCAAAGCCACUAGGCCGCAGCUGCCUUCUUUCAGGCAACCCACUUUUGUGCUAAAUCACCCCGAAGGCUUCUUUUGUCAGGAUGAUGCAAAGACCAUAAGUAACAGCAGCCAUUCAUUCAAGAAUGUAGAUAAAAGUAGUUCCCUAAAACUAGGAGUGGUGUGAAUAAUAUUUAUUCCUUGCCUCUAAGGGUUUAUUAAGAACAUUUAAAAUGCCUUUGAGAUGACAAAAGUUAAGACUCAUUGUCCUUAGGUUUGCCUCCUAAGGUUAGAAGUUUAUGCUCCCCUGUAAUCAAUCCUGUUAACAUUUUACUCUCUCUAAUAUUUUUUCAUUCAUUCACCAAUUUACUUUCAUCCUGGUCAGGCUCUGUCCUCCCUUCUUUUCCAGCAUGUCCGUGCACUGGCUGUAGACUCCACACCCUUCAGUAUGGCAACACAACUACUUAAUCCUUAGAGGAUGUGCAGCCAAUCAAGGUGACUAGAGGCCUGCCAGGAGAGUUUACUAAAAGAUUUCAUUUCUCGGGUAUUCAGACAUUUCAAGGUUGAACCUCUGUGGCCAUGUUCCCCUACAUCUGGAAUCUUGGAAGCAUCAUCCCGACUGCCCUUGCUACAUCGCCUCACCAGAUCUUCAACUAUACUUGGGUGAUUCUUAAUGGCGCUGGAGAUGUGGUGUCUGCCAACUCCACCACUGCUGCACGAGUUCGCUGGCCCAAACUUGAGGUCGCUGGAAUUGGCCUCUGUCUAUUAGGACCCCAUGUGAUUCGGCCCUCCCCCCUGACACUUACUUGCAAUGAGAUAGUGGUGGUUACCACGAAGACCAACUCCAUUGCUGGCCCUAAGGGCACUCAUUUUGCCUGCUCAGCAGGCUUAACACCUUUUGUGGUAACAUCUACCUUUUUGACAGAAAAAGAUUAUUGUGUCCUUGUCCUCCUUUUUCACGAUUAACUAUUCAUGACUCCUCUAAGUUCCUGCAGUUCUGGGAAAGAGGCACCUCCACGCGUACGAAGAGAGAACCCAUCACCACCGUGACUCUGGCAGUACUCCUAGGUCUGUCAGCUGUGGGGACAGGAACCAGGGUUGCCUCCCUGAUCACCUCCCAACAAAAUUAUCAUCAGCUCAGUGCCACCAUAGACAGGGGUAUCAGUGAGCUUCAACAAGGAAUAACCUCUCUUAAAGAUUCAGUCGCUUUCUUGGCUGAGGUUGUUCUACAAAAUAGAAAGGGAUUAGAUCUUCUCUUUCUUCAACAGGGAGGGCUCUGUGUGGCCCUCAAGGAGGAGUGUUGCUUUUAUGCUGAUAAGACGGGAUUAGUAGAAAACAGCCUACAAAAGGUUAGAGAAAGUCUACAAAAGAGACAAAGAGAAAGAGAAGAGAGUGAAGCCUGGUAUAAAAACUGGUUUUCUGCCUCUCUCCUGCUCACCACUCUUCUACCCAGUAUCCUGGGUCCCUUUAUAGGACUCCUGCUGCUCGUCUCCUUUGGCUCAUGGGUGCUUAGAAAGUUAACUGAUUUUAUCAAGGCCCAGGUGGAUUCAGCUACCAAGCAGGUGUCGGUCCAUUACCACUGCCUCCGUUGAGAGGAGGCUGAGACAACCGGGGAGUGUGAUACUCCCCUUGGGUCGCCCACGGCUGGCCUCGACUUCUCCACCCUAAAUACAGCCUAUAACUCAGGCUGGAAAAUCAGUUGCUGGUGGAAGUGUCAAUGAUGGGAAUAUUAUGGUGCCACAUACCAGGCACACACCUCACCGCUGUGAAGUGACCCUAUGAUGGGAUUAGCACAGGUCCAUGAUCUGUGUCGCCCACUCCCACAAAACACACACGUAUAGCCCAGAAUGGUGUAUUUAGGCAUAAGAUCGUUCCUAGCCAUUGGGGUGCAGUUCUAACUGCAAGAGUGGCUCACCAUAGCCGAGCUGGGCACUCUGUAAGGCAUGUCUGAUCUAUCUCAGAUCACUACUUCCCCCCUGGUGGAAAUAAUGGAACUUAAGUGAGAGUGCCGGACAUGGGGGCAACCUGUGUAGCCUAAGACACGGGGUUUCACUGACCAGGUGCUGGAUGCACAUACCCCAGACCUUCCUCCCACUGAUAGUUUAAGAAAGGCGGAGAUGUCCGGGACCAGACUGCUGGACUAGGCAAAGCUAGAGCCCUGCCCUGGGCAGAUUCCUGAGAAGGGCUUGAACAGGUUCCCGGAAGACUGUUGCCUCAUUAUCUAAGAAGACUAUCUUGCAGUUUAGAGAUUCACCUUA
This 2368-nucleotide small RNA is filed under the name Rattus norvegicus (Norway rat). Its description in RNAcentral is "uncharacterized LOC108350763". Lineage: Eukaryota; Metazoa; Chordata; Mammalia; Rodentia; Muridae. The record is from RNAcentral.